UGGGGAAUAUUGGGCAAUGGGGGCAACCCUGACCCAGCGACGCCGCGUGGGGGAAGACGGCCUUCGGGUUGUAAACCUCUUUUGUACGGGAAGAAGGGAGUGACGGUACUGUACGAAUAAGUCCCGGCUAACUACGUGCCAGCAGCCGCGGUAAUACGUAGGGGACGAGCGUUGUCCGGAAUUACUGGGCGUAAAGGGCGCGCAGGCUGUGCAGCAAGUCAGCUGUUAAAUGUCUGGGCUUAACCCGGGCAUGCGGUUGAGACUGCAGUGCUGGAGUGCUGUAGAGGCAAGUGGAAUUCCCAGUGUAGCGGUGAAAUGCGUAGAUAUUGGGAAGAACACCGGUGGCGAAGGCGACUUGCUGGGCAGCAACUGACGCUGAGGCGCGAAAGCCAGGGGAGCAAACGG
This 405-nucleotide ribosomal RNA is filed under the name uncultured bacterium. Its description in RNAcentral is "bacterial SSU rRNA". It matches the Rfam family "Bacterial small subunit ribosomal RNA", at positions 355 to 775 of the family's 1533-position model. The record is from RNAcentral.